This is a non-coding RNA of Notechis scutatus (mainland tiger snake), 578 nucleotides long. Lineage: Eukaryota; Metazoa; Chordata; Lepidosauria; Squamata; Elapidae. The record is from RefSeq and is a predicted model, not a curated record.
UUCAGGGCUUUGUGGAAGGCCAGUCAGAGGUGGGAUUUGCCCGUUCUCCGAACUACUCCAAAUUUCUGCUACUGGUUCUCCAGAACUGGUCAGAACCUGCUGAAUACCCACCUCUGGAACAGCCCUUAUGGGAGAUAUUUACCCGAGUGAGUUUCGAACAGCUCGACACAAUGGACAGAUAUGGGAAAUUCCCUUCUAUACCCUACAAUUGAUGUAUCUGCAUUUGUGGAGUGGCAGAAGUAGAAACCCUGGCUCACAUCCUAUUUGAUUGUUGCCUGUAUCAGAGGGUGAGAGGCAGGCACCUUGGUCUACAUACCAGACGAAUGACCCUUUUGGAUCCCCGUAUCAAACCAACUUACCUUAUGUGCGGCCAGAAUCUGAAGAUGACAUUUAACACAGCACAGGACUUAAAUCAAAAUGGUUCGGUUGAGAUCGGCAUAUUUGGGACUGAUUGGGGUAGAUUGCAGGGGUGACACCGAAAUAUAAUUUUAUCACAUUUUAUCUAUAUCUUAAAUUAAUGUAUUCUGUUCCAACUUCAUUCUAGACUGUAUUUUAUUUCAGUUUCAUUUUAAACUGUA